GGUAUGCCAUCACAUUUACACUUUUACCGCCAUCAUUGCCUAUAAAUAGAACUCUUUAUGGGACAGUGAUGAAUCCUUAGCAGACAGUUUCCCAGCUAACAAAGUAGGAAGAAUCUUCCUCUUUGGUCUUAGAAUGAGCACAGACUAUAGCAUUUCUUCAGUUCAAUUUAUCCAUUCACAUAUUUUAAUCAAAUCCCACUUCAAACAAAAGAUUUAAAAAAAAAAAAUCCAACAAAACAAUAUGAACAAACUCGUUAUCCUACUUAUAUUGUUUUGAGGCUCCUUCUAAGAUGAGUUAUUAACCGGAAUAUUAUAUAUUGUGAAUGUUCGCUUUAAAAUGUUCAGAAUAUAUAUACCCAUUAAUUUUUUUCACCCUUCCUCCAAAAUUGUUGUCAGUUGGCAGAUGGUCGUGGAAAUCAAGGGAAUGUAAACUACGUUCAAACUUUCAGAUGGACUCAUUGAACUAGUUUCCUCCAAUUGAGCAAUAAAUCAUCUACAAUUACUGAUCAUAUAUGUAGAAAGCCACCUUUUCCUGAUGGUAUCCUUUAAGGCUUCAUCUUAAUAAAUUGACUACUUAGUACUUACCCAUGAG
RNAcentral lists this unclassified non-coding RNA (592 nucleotides) under Hevea brasiliensis (rubber tree). The record is from RNAcentral. Lineage: Eukaryota; Viridiplantae; Streptophyta; Magnoliopsida; Malpighiales; Euphorbiaceae.